Molecule: ribosomal RNA, 253 nt
Filed under: uncultured bacterium
Lineage: Bacteria
Description: partial 16S ribosomal RNA
Rfam family: Bacterial small subunit ribosomal RNA
Source: RNAcentral
UACGAAGGGGGCUAGCGUUGUUCGGAAUCACUGGGCGUAAAGCGCACGUAGGCGGAUCUUUAAGUCAGGGGUGAAAUCCCGAGGCUCAACCUCGGAACUGCCUUUGAUACUGGGGAUCUCGAGUCCGGGAGAGGUGAGUGGAACUGCGAGUGUAGAGGUGAAAUUCGUAGAUAUUCGCAAGAACACCAGUGGCGAAGGCGGCUCACUGGCCCGGAACUGACGCUGAGGUGCGAAAGCGUGGGGAGCAAACCGG